CUUAGAGGUAGAGAAAAGAAACAAAUGACCUUUAGGAGGGAGCAUCUAUUUAUAAUGUAUAAGGUUGACCUAUGAUCAAUAGGAGAAUACCACCCGAGCCUGACAGUAACGUGACCGAUGAUCAAACACCAUUUGCUGAGUAAUUGUUGGGAAAUGCCAUCCAAAUAUUCUAUAUCUAGUACAGACCUAUUAAGGAUCAUCCGCACACCUGAGAUCCUUUGGUACACAGUAGCUAUAGUUGGUGGACCUAUAGUACCUAUGGUUAGACCGAGAGGCUAUUUUUCCUUAUAACUCAUUUUGGUGUCAUUUUCUGGGUGUCCCGAUCACAAGCAAGGCUGUCAACUUUACCCACCCCGAGAUAUUACACAUUCACUACUCCUAUUUUACCCCCAUACAGAACCUUCUUUCAAACAUGUUUAUGAAUUAUUUAUAAGUGUAUUAAAAAGAUCUCAAAUAAAAUAAUCGAGUUCAAAAUAAAUUUGAAGAAAUUAAAUUUCAAAAUGGCCCUACUCGCAUACUGAGCCAAAAUUCUAGUCAAACACUUUUUUCUUUGGUUUUCCAUCCGGUGUCGGGUACCCGCAAUGGAGCCCCGACUAAUUCAGAUCGCGCAUUGUAGGGCCCAUUAAGGUGGCAGUGCUCUCAAAAGAGUUUUCUCUAUACCCAGGGUCAAAUCCCGACCUCUGAUUAAGGAUGAAACAGCCUCAUCCACUGCACCACAACCCAUGUUGAUAGUCAACCACUUUUCGCUACUUCUCAAACUCUUUUGUUCGUUCCUUUCUUUUUUUGGUUCCUUUUAUUUGCUCUUUAAUUCUUUUUAUCUGAUUUUAUUUCAAUUCUCUUUGGC
This 844-nucleotide long non-coding RNA is filed under the name Capsicum annuum. RNAcentral's name for it is "long non-coding RNA (CANN_LNC014548)". The record is from RNAcentral. Lineage: Eukaryota; Viridiplantae; Streptophyta; Magnoliopsida; Solanales; Solanaceae.